This 1328-nucleotide long non-coding RNA is filed under the name Mytilus galloprovincialis (Mediterranean mussel). Lineage: Eukaryota; Metazoa; Mollusca; Bivalvia; Mytilida; Mytilidae. The record is from RNAcentral.
AUAAAGAAUCAAAAUACAUUUGAAAUUUUAGUAGGCAAAUAAUUGAGAAAACUUUGAUACAGUUGGGCUUACUUGGAUUAUGCAUAACAUCAUGACAAAAGCAGAAAUGGCAUAUAAGCAUGGUUUUAAAUCUGGACGAGGCUUUCCUGAUUUUGUUUUAUUUUACUUUAAAGCCACUCCGUCAGUCCUGAAUUAAUCAUAGUGUGCCCUUUUUGUUGGUGUAUGAAGCAGGAAUCAAAAUACUAUAGUAGACUUUACUACAUGUUUUGAAGGCUUUCAGAUAAGAGAAUUUGUUAUAUUAUGUUGGUGAGAUUGACAGAACUGAGCAUUUUUAUUGAGUAAAAAAAAAAGACUUAUUCUCUGCAUGUGUUUUCUGUUUGCUAGGAAGCUGUUAGAUAGAGGAGAAAAUUCUCUGUCAUCUUUUAUGAUAAAGAUUCGUUAUGUCAUAGGAUAAAAAAAAAUUAUGAGUGUCAUUUAACAGUUCUAUCAUAAACAAAGAAUAGAAAAUAAAAACAGCGAAAUACGUGUAUUAAUAUUGCACGUACAAAAUUGAAUAUUGCUCACAGAAUAAUUUGCGGUCAGACCCCCUUUGCAUAUUGCGCACACACACAUAGACGUAUUAUACAUACAUAUUAAAAAACAACAGUUCGCAAAGUUUCUUAUAAAUUUGACAAAAAAAUAUAAAGUGUAUUUUAUUUACAGGAAUAUAACUAAUAAUGCAUCCAGUUACAUUUGACUUUGACAUACUGUAAUAUAGGGUUAUUGCAUGAAUAUUAGGGAAUAUUGUCCCAAGUAGAAUUUUAUAUUGCACCAGUUUGUGAUUGCAAUAUAUGUUCUACGAGGGACAAUAUUCCCCAAAUGUAAUAUUCAUACAAUAACCCUUUUAUUGUAUAGCAAUAUAAUAUUUGAAAGUAAAAAUUGGAUUAAACUAAGAUUUUGUCGUUGAUGAUGUCAUUAAUAUUGAAGAUUUAUUACACUAGUGCAAUACAUUGAUAUCGGAAUUUUAUUGCACGCCAACUUUUGGUUAAUUUCUGUGGGAAAUAUUAUAUUGCUUGGCAAUAAUGUUCAAAUAUCAAGCAUUCAGGAAAAUUUUCAAAUUGUUAUAGAUAUCACAGAACAAUGCCUUUAUUAUUUGUUUGUUAAACUAGUUUAGGGAUCUUAAUUCUUUCCUGAAUGGUAAAAUUCUUUUAAAAGCAAUCAAAAUGAAAUAAUUAUACUGGUCUUCUCAACUCUUAAAAGAUGGAGCUUAUGUCAAAGCUGGGAAGUAAAUGAUGGAAGCAAACUAAUCAUCCAGAAAACCAACAAUUUUUUUGGUCCACCUCUCCUUG